GUUUUUGCCUCAAUGGGCUCUACCACAAUGGGCAGAUCAACAGUUGCCUGAAUGGGCUCUACCACAAUGGGUAGAACAUUAUUAUUUUGUCCUACCACCAUGGGCAGCCUGGUUAUAGUAUCGUUAUUUUGUGCAUCAAAAGGAUUCACAGGUGUUGUAGUUGUUUUCGCAUGCACUACACUGGCUACAGGUGAUAAUGAUAUAUUACUUGUGUCGAUCGCAGAAUCACAUAUCUGGUAAGAAAACAUGUUCGUACAACAUGAAACACUGACAAGUUUAGGUAAGUUAUCUACAGAUAAGAAUUCGACACCAGGUUCUAAGACAACAAAGCCAUCAUUCAGAGCUUGCAAGUACAUUUUGUCUCCUUGUAAUAAGACAUUACUGAAUGUUGUUUUUGACCAAUCGAUCAGUGGUAUAUUUUGGGCAGUUAAAAUUGCCGAUAAACUCAUGAAAGCACAUUGUCUGCCUCUAGAUUGAACACUAAAAAUGUCAUCGCCUUGAUGUAUAUAAGAAGAAAGAAAUAGAGCCAUACUUACCUGAAUUUUUCCCAAUAUUUUCGAUUUCUUGCAUCCGUAUGAAACGCUUUUGUAAAAAUCUUUCGAUUCUUGAAGCACAUGGAGAUGCGUGCGCAAUACAAAAUCUUGUUUCUGACCGCUCCCCUCUUUUAACAAACGUCCCUGAAGCUUAAUUAUUCCCCCCGGAUUGUGACAAACAUCUUUACAGACAGAUACAAGAUCUCGAUCUCGACAAUACAUAACUCGCGCGAAAGACUGGGUCGAGUGGACUCUGGGGAAACCACCGCGUGUCAAGAAUAGUGUGCUGCCUCGCUACGCUCGGCAGCAAUUUGCAUGACAAAAUUGCUGGAUUAUGAUUGGUUGAGAGGAGUACAAUUAUUUCAUGAAUUCAUUAAUUGUACUGCAGUACAAUUAAAAUGAUUUUCCCAAAACAAACAAAAUGGCGGAAGGGUAUCCUAAACGGAAAGGUAUUUUUCAAAUUUAGGUUGAAUGUCUGGCAGGACUGGACUUUGGUGAGAGAAUAUGAUGUUGACAUUGAGGAGUAUCCAUGCAACAUCCACUCGCCCAGGCGGCUCGUCCAAUGUUGGCAAAAUUUCCAAACAUCACUCGUACUAUUAGCCCCUACUUGUACGAGCAACAUCGCAUGAUUACUUGUUUAUUAUUAAAUAGCUGCAUGAGUUGCAUUCAUAUAACUUGACAUAGAAAAUUAAUAAUUUUAUAAUGCAUUAAUUUCUAAGGUAUUCAUCAACUUCAGAACUUCCUCGUAAGAGUCACUGUGAAACUUCUCAAGCAGGAAGAUGAGAACAUUGAUACAAUAUGCGCGCACUACCACGACACCGACUUUCAAGAAGAAUUUACAAAAAGGGUUAGUAUUUUAUU
Non-coding RNA from Paramuricea clavata, 1394 nucleotides. Lineage: Eukaryota; Metazoa; Cnidaria; Anthozoa; Malacalcyonacea; Plexauridae. The record is from the annotation of a GenBank genome assembly.